UUGCUGUGGUAUUUUGACUAUACGAAGGUAUUGAAAUAAGAUUUUAAAUGAGUGCUAAGAGAAUGAUUAAACAAUUAAAAGCUUUCUUUAAUUGAAUAAUUGAAUUUAAUUUUUUAGUGCAAAAGCAAAAAUAAAAAUUAGGGACAAGAAGACCCUAUGAAUUUUUUAUUAAAUUUUAUAAAACUUUUUAUAAAAUUUAAUUUAAUUGGGGUGAUGGAAAAAGAAUAAAUAUCUUUUUUUUAAAAAAAAAUUGGUUCCGUUUUUAGCGAUUAAAUGAAAAAAAUACUCUAGGGAUAACAGCGUAAUAAUUUUGGAUAGUUCAUAUAGAUAAAAUAGUUUGCGACCUCGAUGUUGGAUUAGGAUUCUUUUUUGGUGAAGAAGUUAAAAAAA
RNAcentral lists this ribosomal RNA (390 nucleotides) under Ixodes ricinus (castor bean tick). RNAcentral's name for it is "partial 16S ribosomal RNA". Lineage: Eukaryota; Metazoa; Arthropoda; Arachnida; Ixodida; Ixodidae. The record is from RNAcentral.